AAGACGUUAGUAAAAAUAUUACAAAGCCUUGUCAAGGCUUAGUUACUAGUUAGAAUCUUGUACGUCUUA
This 69-nucleotide transfer RNA is filed under the name Lissotriton vulgaris (common newt). RNAcentral describes it as "tRNA-Asp". It matches the Rfam family "tRNA". From Rfam's summary of the family: Transfer RNA (tRNA) molecules are approximately 80 nucleotides in length. Lineage: Eukaryota; Metazoa; Chordata; Amphibia; Caudata; Salamandridae. The record is from RNAcentral.